CUUCGGCCCGAGUUGUAAUUUGCAGAGGAUGUUUAUGGUGCGGUACCAACCGAGUUCCCUGGAACGGGACGCCACAGAGGGUGAGAGCCCCGUCUGGUUGGAUACUAAACCUGUGUUAAACUCCUUCAACGAGUCGAGUAGUUUGGGAAUGCUGCUCUAAACGGGAGGUAAAUCUCUUCUAAAGCUAAAUACUGGCCAGAGACCGAUAGCGCACAAGUAGAGUGAUCGAAAGAUGAAAAGCACCUUGAAAAGGGGGUUAAACAGUACGUGAAAUUGUUGAAAGGGAAGCGUUUAUGACCAGACUUGUGCUGUGUGGCUCAUCCGAGGUUCUCCUCGGUGCACUCCAUGCAGCUCAGGCCAACAUCGGUUCUUGUUGGGGGAUAAGAAUAGUAGGAAUGUGGCUCUCUUCGGGGAGUGUUAUAGCCUAUUAUACGAUACCUUGAUGGGGACCGAGGACCGCGCUUCGGCUAGGAUGUUGGCGUAAUGGUCAUUAGCGACCCGUCUUGAAACACGGACCAAGGAGUCGUCCAUUAGAGCGAGCGUUUGGGUGUAAAACCCGCACGCGUAAUGAAAGUGAAAUUAGGUGAGAGCUUCGGCGCAUCAUCGACCGAUCCUGAAGUUUACGGAUGGAUUUGAGUAAGAGUUUUAACGGACGGACCCGAAAGACAGUGAACUAUGCUUGAAUAGGGUGAAGCCAGAGGAAACUCUGGUGGAGGCUCGCAGCGGUUCUGACGUGCAAAUCGAUCGUCAAAUUUGAGCAUGGGGGCGAAAGACUAAUCGAAC
Molecule: ribosomal RNA, 783 nt
Filed under: Gnomonia pseudoamoena
Lineage: Eukaryota; Fungi; Ascomycota; Sordariomycetes; Diaporthales; Gnomoniaceae
Description: eukaryotic LSU rRNA
Rfam family: Eukaryotic large subunit ribosomal RNA
Source: RNAcentral